RNAcentral lists this unclassified non-coding RNA (289 nucleotides) under fungal sp. RNAcentral's name for it is "partial internal transcribed spacer region". The stretch from base 1 to 46 matches the Rfam family "Eukaryotic small subunit ribosomal RNA", at positions 1786 to 1831 of the family's 1831-position model. The record is from RNAcentral. Lineage: Eukaryota; Fungi.
AAGUCGUAACAAGGUUUCCGUAGGUGAACCUGCGGAAGGAUCAUUAACACGUGUCCAACGUAAAAAACCACCCUGUGAACAUUCAAACCUGCUCUCGUAGCCCAGUGCGAUCCAGCAAUCCCGGUAAAUCAUCGUCGAACAGCUUUUGAUUCGGGACUUCUGACGAAUGAGAAGUUACACCGACCGGUCCCCACGCCCCUUUACAACCCGAUUACCUCUGUGAGUCUAGGCGGACGCACUAGGCUAAAAAAACCUCGAACAACUGUUAACAAUGGAUAUCUUGGUUCUC